CCCUUAGAUGUCCUGGGCCGCACGCGCGCUACACUGACAUGUUCAACAAGCCUCCUAGUUCGACAGGAUUUGGGAAAUCUUUGAACGCAUGUCGUGAUAGGGAUAGAUCAUUGCAAUUAUUGAUCUUGAACGAGGAAUUCAUAGUAAACGCGAGUCAUCAGCUCGCAUUGAUUACGUCCCUGCCCUUUGUACACACCGCCCGUCGCACCUACCGAUUGAAUGUUUCGGUGAAGAUUCCGGAUAGGACUUUUUUGAUUUAUUUCAAUUUUGUCUUAAAAGCUAUCUAAACCUCAACAUUUAGAGGAAGGUGAAGUCGUAACA
This 321-nucleotide ribosomal RNA is filed under the name uncultured eukaryote. RNAcentral describes it as "partial 18S ribosomal RNA". It matches the Rfam family "Eukaryotic small subunit ribosomal RNA", at positions 1470 to 1796 of the family's 1831-position model. The record is from RNAcentral.